This 266-nucleotide long non-coding RNA is filed under the name Nicotiana benthamiana. RNAcentral describes it as "long non-coding RNA (NBEN_LNC020996)". The record is from RNAcentral. Lineage: Eukaryota; Viridiplantae; Streptophyta; Magnoliopsida; Solanales; Solanaceae.
UGGCAGGGCUAUCCAUAGAUGAUUUGUGUUUGGGCUUGUGUCUCCCUUAUGGUUGUUAUUUAUGGUAGUUACUGUAUGAUAUUAUUGCAUGCUAUUUUAUUUAUGUUUCUUAUGUUUAGAUAAUUAUUUAGCUAUUUUUGCUGGAGUUACUAAUGCUCUUUUGUUUUUGUUUCUGUUUUUGUUUUUCCUUUUCUUCACUAAGCCGAGGGUCGAUUGGAAACAGCUUCUCUGCCCUUUCGGGUAGGGGUAAGGCUCGUCUACAUAUU